Molecule: long non-coding RNA, 822 nt
Organism: Cucurbita maxima (winter squash)
Lineage: Eukaryota; Viridiplantae; Streptophyta; Magnoliopsida; Cucurbitales; Cucurbitaceae
Exons: 2
Source: RefSeq, a predicted model, not a curated record
CAAAUUUUGUAUACUUAAAAACUAAAUAAGAAACAAAGUUGGUCCCCGCAGAAGGGAUUUUGGCCAUGUAUUCAAUGUACUGUUUAGCCCGUGAGUAGAAGGCAAUAAUGGGUGGGUGUGUGGGGUCAAAGGGGUUUGGAGGCCAUAAAUAAGAGCUACAGCUACAGAAACAGCAACAUCCAUCCAGCUCUGUUCUUGUGUAAUGUGCAUAUCAGUUUUGUGGAACCAAAGGGAAGAGAGAGAUCUCAGAGACUGAAACAGAGGGGGCUGAGAGGGUGAAGUGAGGUGGAGUGGGGUCUCCAUUCUCAGGCCUUUUUCUUUUGUUUUGUUUUUUUUUUAUUGUUUUCAUGUCAGUUUCCCCCCAACUCUCACUGUCUUCCUCUUCAUUUCCAACUUUGAAUUUUUACCUUAGUUUCUAACAUUCAAUCUUUCAAUUCAUUUCUCUGACAGCCAACAAAAGGACCCAAUUAUGAACCCAGAGAAGAAAAAAGCUUCAGACCAGCCUCUGCACUUGGAGUGGAUGAUGAUGAUGAAGAGGGAGAAUUUUGCUUACUUCACCCAUGGCUGAGGCGGAGAGCUCUGGGUAGCGGUGGGUGUUGUUGGCUCCGGCUGCUGUUUCUGUGUCUGUGUGGGCGAGGGAGUGUGGAUUUAUGGGCGUGGGCGAAGAGGAGACGAGAGGAGGUGGGGUUUUGAAAGCUGGGUAAUCUGCAAAUCUGACGUGGAGCCAUUUAAUGCAGGCACCCCAUAUGUCCCUUUGUACCCACUCUACUUUCCAAUUUUGCCCUUCACUUUCAAAUUUUUGAAAAUAUAUAAUUAAGUUCU